GGUAAUUCCAGCUCCAAUAGUUUAUAUUAAAGUUGUUGUGGUUAAAAAGCUCGUAGUUGGAACCUGGCAUGCAGGGGGCGGUCCAUUAUUUGAUGCGACUGCCCCAUUUGCGUGUUUUUUUAGGCGGAAUUCCUUGGGUGCUCUUCACCGAGUGUCCUUGGAGGCCGCCAGGUUUACUUUGAAAAAAUUAGAGCGCUCCAAGCAGGCUCUACACGCCUGAAUAUUCGUGCAUGGAAUAAUGAAAUAGGACGUCGUUCCUAUUUUGUUGGUUUUAGGGAUUCGACGUAAUGAUUAAUAGGGACAGCCGGGGGCAUUAGUAUGCAGACGACAGAGGUGAAAUUCUUGGACCGUCUGCCGACUAACUACUGCGAAAGCAUUUGCCAAGAGUGUUUUCAUUAAUCAAGAACGAAAGUUAGAGGUUCGAAGGCGAUCAGAUACCGCCCUAGUUCUAACCAUAAACGAUGCCAGCUAGCGAUCUGCAGGCGUUUUUUUUGUAGGCCCUGCAGGAAGCUUCCGGGAAACCAAAGCAUUUGGGUUCCAGGGGAAGUAUGGUUGCAAAGCUGAAACUUAAAGGAAUUGACGGAAGGGCACCACCAGGCGUGGAGCUUGCGGCUUAAUUUGACUCAACACUGGAAAUCUCACCAGGCCCGGACACCGGCAGGAUUGACAGAUUGAGAGCUCUUUCUCGAUUCGGUGGGUGGUGGUGCAUG
Molecule: ribosomal RNA, 710 nt
Filed under: Eucyclops serrulatus serrulatus
Lineage: Eukaryota; Metazoa; Arthropoda; Copepoda; Cyclopoida; Cyclopidae
Description: SSU rRNA
Rfam family: Eukaryotic small subunit ribosomal RNA
Source: RNAcentral